AUUUAACCGUGUCUUUUGGAUAUACAUCAAUUAUAUUCUAUGAAAAUAUUUUUAAAUAUUUUCUCCCCUUCUAUCAAAGUUCUUUUAUAUAUACAUCCGUUCUAUACAAGUAUUUGUAAGUUUUCUCUCUCUUUAUAUCAAAGUUUGUUUCUCUUUUUAUGUUUCAUCUCAAUAUUUUUAUUUUAUUGUUUGUUUUGAAAUUAUUGAAGAUGAUUUUAUUUCACUUUUCUAUUUCAUCUCAAUAUUAUUAUUAUUUUAUUGUUUGUUUUGAAUUUGUUGAAGAUGAAUGCUUGACUGAAUCAUUACGAAGUUUAAUCUCUAGAGAAUAAGAGGUUAUUUAUUCUAUGUCAUGUCAGUUAUUUCUAAUUUAUAUGUCUAUUGUUUUCGAGUAUGGCAGUUUUGAAUUACUUCAUCGUCUGUUUUCUUCAAACUUUUUCAAAUAAAGAGAAAAGUAAAUAAAGAGAAAAAAAGAUUUUUUUUUUAAAAUAACCAAAUUUUUCAAAAAAAAAAAUCUGAAAUAAUCAAUUUUUCAAAAAAAAACCAAAAUAAUCAAGUUUGAUAGAGGAUGUGUCAGAUGAAUUGCCGUACCCCCAUACCAAUAAAAGGAGGCGUCAGUAGCAUUGACGCACAUGCAGUGGGCCUCAUGAGGAGGCGUCAAUGCUUGUGGCGCCUGCAUUGACCCUCGUGAGGAGGCGUCAAUGCCUCUGGCGCCUGAGUAUAUUUUUAAAUGUGGGUGUAUGCGUCAAUUCAUCUGGCGCAUACACCUCCUCCUAUUAUUUUAUUUUAUUUUAUUUUAAUUCUUUUAGUUAUUUAAUUUUUUUAUUUUUAAUAUUUAAUAUUUAUUAUUUAAUACAUAAAAAAUAAUAAUGAAAAAAAUAAAUUCAUUAAAUAUGUAAUAAUUGGUUACAUUGGACAGACAAAAAACUAAUGACCCGCCUGAUUAUAACGUCCCCCGGUUCCACAUCCCGGUGCGUUAGUUUGUUUCCGAGGUCUCCCACGAUUUUCUUGAGGUGUUUGUGGUCUUUGGGUGCUGACCUGAUCGGGCGAUGGCUGGUUGGAAGGUCCGGCGGAAGUUCCGGUGGUAUUUGACAGAUGUGUCAUCAUUUGCUCCCAAUAUCCGGAGGGGCUCUGGUCAACGGCGCUUCCGUAAUGGAGUUCGGUGUCCAUGUCAUCGUAGUUAGGGCGUUGGGGUUGGGUAAAUUGGGGACGGUAUAGUUGCCCAAAUUGGGCCAUUGAGUCGUUUUGAAAACGAAGCAAUGGUUCCUGGGGCGUACUAUAGUUAAACAGUGGUUGGGUGUUCAUUGGUGGGGGGUUACGAUGAAGUGACCCAUAUGAAUCAUCUGGACUAUAGACGGUUGUGGUUGCGGGCUUUGAUUAUUGGUUUUGUGUUUUGGUGGGUGGUAUGAAUGGAUUGCGACGUUGGAUGGUUGGUUGUUGGGUGGUUGGCAUGAACGGGUUGCGAUGUUGGGUGUGUGGUUGUUGUGUGUAUGUGGUCGGUUGAUGUUGUGUGGUUGAUUGUUGGGUUUAGGUGGGUUCACAUUGGUGUUGGGUGGGUUCACAUUGGUGUUGGAUGGUGAAUUGAUGUGGGGCAUACGAUGACGAAGCAAGUUGGCACGAAUCCAUCAAAUAUUGCGGCUCAGAUACAAAUUGCUGAGUUGUUACAGACCUAAACCAUGCCAUAUAUUGUUGAGUCGGUCUUGCACCUUGGAUGACUGGUUCGUUCAAGAUGUGUUGUCGUCGAUUCCUCCAUUGACGACAUUAUUGUUGAGUCGGUCUUGCACCUUGGAUGACUGGUUCGUUCAAGAUGUGUUGUCGUCGAUUCCUCCAUUGACGACACAUGUCUUUUGCAAAGUCUCUCCAGUCAGAAUAAUCCCACUGUGCAUCGAUCCUUUUUUGAUGUCAAUUCCCCAAACAUGUGGGAGAUUCUGGAGUAUGUUGUAGCAUUCCGAACUACAGUUUGACCCGGUCACUUUGGUGCAUUUCCACUGUAGUGAAUCGGAUAAUCGGUGUCUUCGCUGUCCACACUGCAGCAUCACCAUGGUUCACAUCAUGAUUCAGACCCAGAUAUGGCCUUCAAACAAACUGUAAAACAAUACCAAAUUAUUAGAUGGAAAAUAAUUUGAGAAGUAUUUUUAAAUUAAAAUAUAGUUUGGUAGGAGUAUUUAGGGGUGGCAAACGGGCAUGCCCGCCCCGUAUAGGCCCGCCCCGCAAAAGCCCGCAAAAAAACAGGGCGGGGCGGGGCGGUCAUAGUUAAGGAUGCGGGCCUAAAACUUAGACUCGCCCCGGAAAAAAGUGAGGGCGGGGCGGGGAAAGCCCGCGGGCACUGCACUCUUUAAGCCUAAAAAUACAAAAAUUUAUGUAAAUACAUGUGCCCACAAAAGCCCGCAAAAAAACGGGGCGGGGCGGGGCAGACACAUUUGAGGGUGAGAACCUAAAUCCUUGGCCCGCCCCGCACAAAAGUGCGGGCAAAACGGGCAUGCCCCGCGGGCCGAGCCCAUUUUGCCUGGGGCAGACACAUUUGAGGGUGAGAACCUAAAUCCUUGGCCCGCCCCGCACAAAAGUGCGGGCAAAACGGGCAUGCCCCGCGGGCCGAGCCCAUUUUGCCACCCCUAGGAGUAUUACAUCGUCAUGUCCAAUGUGGUCCAAUAGAUUUCGAUAGACUACAAUAGCGUGUUUCGGACAGCUAUUGUAGUUCAUUCCCUUUACUGACCACCUAAGAUAAUAAAAAGAAGUGAAAAAUAUUAUUUACUGUUAAUUCAAAUAAUAAAUAUAAUUAACUAAAUGGUGAAUGGUAAAAUGUUAGACUUACUUGGUUGCAAACGGGAACACGAAUGAGCGCUCAUUUAUCGGGGCGAGCGACGGCAUUCUAGACCACCCCCAAGCUUGAAGCAAAUAAGCACAUGAAAAAAAAGUACAGGUAUUCUUUUUUGCAGUUCUACACAUUGCACUAUAUAGAUGGGUCAACACAGCUGAACCCCAACUAUAAGUGUUUACCUUAUUAAUGUUCCGUAAUAAAGGUAAAUACAUUAUAUUCACAAAAUUACCUGUACUUUCUGGAAACAAAAAGUUACCAAAUAAAAUCAUAAUAUAACACCGAGAUUUUAUUAUUUUCUCAUACUCGGUUGAAUCGUCGGACAAUACUAUACUGGCAUAAUAUUGUUUUAGGUAUUUUAAAUGUAUACCUUGCCCCCUUGCUUGACCGGAUGUGUCUCCCUCAGUUUCGUCGUCUAACAAAGGGGCACCCAAUAAUUCAUUUCAUAUAUUGUUGUCUUGGUUAACUCGCCCAUUCACUGCCUUUCCGUCUAUACGGAGACCCAACAACAUGUACAUGUCCUCAAGUGUGAUGAUACACUCACCAAUCGGAAGGUGAAAUGUGUGGGUCUCGGGUCUCUGAUUAGUGUAUUUUGAUGCACAUUCUUCUAUAACUGUACUUAGGUAUUUAUCUAGUUUAUUUUGCUUAUUUUACUAUUUUAUUAUGUUUUUAGAUUUAAGUUCAUGUUUGCCUUUAAUCUAUUUUCGUUUGCUAUUUUCAGUUUUAGCGGUUAUUUGAUACAUGUCCACUGUUUUUUGCUUAUUUUACUAUUUUAUUAUGUUUUUAGAUUUAAGUUCAUGUUUGCCUUUAAUCUAUUUUCGUUUGCUAUUUUCAGUUUUAGCGGUUAUUUGAUACAUGUCCACUGUUCGGAUCAUAACUUAACCUACGGGAUUCCGUUUUGCAAGUUCUGACAUGCGUUGGAAAGCUAAGAGAAAGAGCUACAACUUUUAUGUUUAAGAAAAAAGCUGAUUCAGAGUGAAGAAGUCUCAAGUAAUUCAUUGAAAUUUCGUACUUUAGGAAAUAUUUUCUUUUGGGCCAUUUGUUGGGCCGAAUUUAGGUUUUUCGGCCCAGUUUGAAUUAUAAGUGAAACCCUUAUUCUGUUUAAAAGGGCAGCCGAGGUACUGUAGCAAAGACACAUUAUUCACCAUAACUUUUUGCUUUUGUGCGAUCAUGAAGAGGAACUAAUCAUCUAGAGUCAAUCUGCUGUAACCGAAUUUCCAAGGCUUUGAGGUUUUUAUUCUAUCAAUUUAAUUUCGUUCUCUUUCAAUUCUAUUCUAUGAAAUUUCACUUGCUUAAUCUGUAUUUUUUGGAAUGGUUUUGAUUAAAUUCGUAUGAUUGCAUUCCUAA
Molecule: long non-coding RNA, 4159 nt
Filed under: Lathyrus oleraceus (garden pea)
Lineage: Eukaryota; Viridiplantae; Streptophyta; Magnoliopsida; Fabales; Fabaceae
Description: Pisum sativum (pea) long non-coding RNA (PSAT_LNC010669)
Source: RNAcentral